RNAcentral lists this ribosomal RNA (253 nucleotides) under uncultured bacterium. RNAcentral describes it as "partial 16S ribosomal RNA". It matches the Rfam family "Bacterial small subunit ribosomal RNA", at positions 524 to 776 of the family's 1533-position model. The record is from RNAcentral.
UACGUAGGGGGCAAGCGUUAUCCGGAUUUACUGGGUGUAGAGGGAGCGUAGACGGCCAGACAAGUCUGAAGUGAGAAUCCAGCGCUUAACGUUGGAAGUGCUUUGGAAACUGCCGGGCUGGAGUGCAGGAGGGGCAGGCGGAAUUCCUAGUGUAGCGGUGAAAUGCGUAGAUAUUAGGAGGAACACCAGUGGCGAAGGCGGCCUGCUGGACUGCAACUGACGUUGAGGCUCGAAGGCGUGGGGAGCAAACAGG